AAGGAAAAAAAGGGGAGAAACAGGACACUUGCACAACUCCACAAACUGUGCAAGAAACUACAGACACAAAAGGACACCUGCUGUAAUCUGAGAACAGCACAGCUGAGGUGAUCCUCCUGCAAUGAGCGUGCCAAGAGCUGCUCUGGACGCUGAGGCCUUGCAGGCACCAGGAGAACCUCCUGCUGACAGCGCUGUGACCUGGCAGCCCUCUGCUGACAUCACAAUAGCAGCCGUUCCAGGUUGCUCUGUGGAUUCAUGCAUAGCAAACAAACCUUCUCUGCAGCUGACAGAAAAGAAAAGCCUGGAAAGAUCUCCUCUGCCCCAAAGCAGCACAAAAGCCCCUUGCAGUCCAUAAGCCACAGCUCAAAGGAAGCAAGAGUAACACAAAACGGGCACCAAGCCCAUACACCCUGUACGCCAAGCUGAACACUGAGAGAGAACCAGGAUGUGAGGAAACCAAAGGCAGCGGGCCCUUUUGGCCAGCAGUGCUUCUGACUAAAGCCAAUUUUAAAUUUGCUUUUAAAUCCUCUGGAUGAAAUUGUGCUUUGCUUCUUUUGCUAAUAUCCCGGAGAGUUCCCUAAACUGGAAUGCCUGUCAUUCCUGCCCAUUUACUGCAUGGCUAACAUCAACCAGCACAUUGUAGGGCUUGCUGAAGGAAGAAUAACACCUAGGUGGGGAGAAAAACCAAGUAACCAACCUGCUGCACAUACAGCACACUGCUGCUGCACAAUCCCAGCACCUCCAAGAAGCCUUUGGGACCAUCAUGUGCACAGCAGUGGUUGCAGAGUUGGUGAAGUCCAGCAGCACCUGGGAAAAGAGAAGCUGCAGAUAAUCCCUGGAAACAAAUACCUGCUCUAGCAGGAGCAGUGAGUGUCCAGUGGGAAGGCAAGUUCUGCCACGGGAACUAAGGCCAACUUGUGGGAGUGAAGACUUGUGCAGUUUGGAUCUGCAUGAGCCACUGUGGAGGCCUGUGGGCCUGCUGGGGGACUUCUUGGGGCUAUGCCCUGGAAGGAUGUCCCCUAGACUUUAACCUUUCGCUUAUCAUGUCCCAUAGACUUUAAACUUUCCCAUGAACUCAAUUUUUUUUUCAAUGUACGUUUGAUACAUUAUUAAUAUAUAAUAUAUAUAUAUAUAUAAUACACCUAUAUAUAUAUAUAUAUAUAUAUAUAUAUAUACAGUGAUCAUAUAGUGAUUAUUGAAAAUAAUUUAUGUUGCAAUAUUUGGUGGUAAUUGACAGAAAAUUUGACAAUCAUUUAAAUUUAAAUUUUAGUUGCACAAUUUUUAACAGACUUCCUUUCCCAGUUUUCGUAUUCAUUCACCCACUUCCCUGAACCCACUCUCCCUGAGAAGGACAGGACUGGAGAUGGAACCUGCUCAAGAGCACAGGCCAGCCACCAGCCAUCUGCCAUC
RNAcentral lists this long non-coding RNA (1410 nucleotides) under Taeniopygia guttata (zebra finch). RNAcentral describes it as "lncRNA (ENSTGUG00000024182.1)". Lineage: Eukaryota; Metazoa; Chordata; Aves; Passeriformes; Estrildidae. The record is from RNAcentral.